GGUGAGCUUCUUCCCUUUUUUCUUUCUUUUUUUGUUGCUGUUUUUUGAUUUAGGUUAAUUAGUUGAUUUAGAUUGAUUUAGGUUAAUUAGUUGAUUUAGAUUGUAGGUUAGUUUUUUUAUAUUUAGUCAUAUUUUAGGUUAGUAGAUUUUAGGUUAAUAGAUUUUAGUUGAUUUUAGGUUAGUAGAUUUUAGUUGAUUUUAGGUUAGUAGAUUUUAGUUGAUUUAGGUUAAUUAGUUGAUUUAGGUUGAUUAGUUGAUUUAGGUUAACUAGUUGAUUUAGAUUGUAGGUUAGUUUUUUUAUAUUUAGUCAUAUUUUAGGUUAGUCAUAUUUUAGGUUAUUAGUACAUUUUGUGAGAUGAAAGAAAGAAGAAAA
RNAcentral lists this long non-coding RNA (373 nucleotides) under Triticum aestivum (bread wheat). Its description in RNAcentral is "long non-coding RNA (TAES_LNC014389)". The record is from RNAcentral. Lineage: Eukaryota; Viridiplantae; Streptophyta; Magnoliopsida; Poales; Poaceae.